This 1474-nucleotide ribosomal RNA is filed under the name metagenome. Its description in RNAcentral is "bacterial SSU rRNA". It matches the Rfam family "Bacterial small subunit ribosomal RNA". The record is from RNAcentral.
AGAGUUUGAUCCUGGCUCAGGACGAACGCUGGCGGCGUGCCUAACACAUGCAAGUCGAUCGGACGAGGCCCCUUCGGGGACCGAGUUAGUGGCGGACGGGUGAGUAACGCGUGAGCAACCUGCCUUUCAGAGGGGGACAACAGUUGGAAACGACUGCUAAUACCGCAUGAUGCAGCGAGAUCGCAUGGUCUUGCUGUCAAAGAUUUAUCGCUGAAAGAUGGGCUCGCGUCUGAUUAGCUAGUUGGAGGGGUAACGGCCCACCAAGGCGACGAUCAGUAGCCGGACUGAGAGGUUGAACGGCCACAUUGGGACUGAGAUACGGCCCAGACUCCUACGGGAGGCAGCAGUGGGGAAUAUUGGGCAAUGGGGGAAACCCUGACCCAGCAACGCCGCGUGAAGGAAGAAGGCUUUCGGGUUGUAAACUUCUUUUACCAGGGACGAAGAACGUGACGGUACCUGGAGAAAAAGCCACGGCUAACUACGUGCCAGCAGCCGCGGUAAUACGUAGGUGGCAAGCGUUGUCCGGAUUUACUGGGUGUAAAGGGCGUGUAGGCGGAGCUGCAAGUCAGAUGUGAAAUCUGGGGGCUUAACCCUCAAACUGCAUUUGAAACUGUAGCCCUUGAGUAUCGGAGAGGCAGGCGGAAUUCCUAGUGUAGCGGUGAAAUGCGUAGAUAUUAGGAAGAACACCAGUGGCGAAGGCGGCCUGCUGGACGACAACUGACGCUGAGGCGCGAAAGCGUGGGGAGCAAACAGGAUUAGAUACCCUGGUAGUCCACGCUGUAAACGAUGAAUACUAGGUGUGGGGGGACUGACCCCCUCCGUGCCGGAGUUAACACAAUAAGUAUUCCACCUGGGGAGUACGACCGCAAGGUUGAAACUCAAAGGAAUUGACGGGGGCCCGCACAAGCAGUGGAUUAUGUGGUUUAAUUCGACGCAACGCGAAGAACCUUACCGGGAUUUGACAUCCUACUAACGAAGCAGAGAUGCAUUAGGUGCCCUUCGGGGAAAGUAGAGACAGGUGGUGCAUGGUUGUCGUCAGCUCGUGUCGUGAGAUGUUGGGUUAAGUCCCGCAACGAGCGCAACCCCUAUUGUUAGUUGCUACGCAAGAGCACUCUAGCGAGACUGCCGUUGACAAAACGGAGGAAGGCGGGGACGACGUCAAAUCAUCAUGCCCCUUAUGUCCCGGGCUACACACGUAAUACAUUGGCGGUCAACAAAGGGAAGCAAAGCCGCGAGGCAGAGCAAACCCCCAAAAGCCGUCUCAGUUCGGAUUGCAGGCUGCAACUCGCCUGCAUGAAGCUGGAAUUGCUAGUAAUCGUGGAUCAGAAUGCCACGGUGAAUACGUUCCCGGGCCUUGUACACACCGCCCGUCACACCAUGAGAGUCGGGAACACCCGAAGUCCGUAGUCUAACCCGCAAGGGAGGGCGCGGCCGAAGGUGGGUCUGAUAAUUGGGGUGAAGUCGUAACAAGGUA